UAGCUCUUUAACAAUUUGGAAAGCUGACAAAAUAAUGUGUGUUUCUUUGGAAACAGACGAUUAUUUGUAAAAGUUCUCAAUACUUUCUCGAAAGAGAAAGACCAACACAAUCAAGUGUUCUUGGAAUGACACAAUUUAGUGUCUAUUCAAUUGAGUCCGGCAAAACCAGUCUCUCGCUCAUGUAAAAUAAUGAGAGACACCUAGGUUACUGAUAAUGCAGCUCGAAACUUCUUCGGGUUGUAU
Molecule: unclassified non-coding RNA, 243 nt
Filed under: Vibrio gazogenes
Lineage: Bacteria; Pseudomonadati; Pseudomonadota; Gammaproteobacteria; Vibrionales; Vibrionaceae
Description: partial miscellaneous RNA
Source: RNAcentral